This is a long non-coding RNA of Gasterosteus aculeatus aculeatus (three-spined stickleback), 5118 nucleotides long. The record is from Ensembl. Lineage: Eukaryota; Metazoa; Chordata; Actinopteri; Perciformes; Gasterosteidae.
ACUAUCACAUUGAUUUGUUUUGAAGAUACCUGGUUUUCACAGGAUGUCGAAGUUUAUUUUUUGCUUGAUAAGUGACUUCCGUUAUUAAUCAAUCAUUACUAUUGCUGUUACUACUACUACUAAAACUGGACCAAAUACUAGCUCAAUUUUCAAAAUAAACAUAAAAAAUAUAUAUAUUUUGGUGGUGCGCCCUGGUACCGGUCAGGUGAGGUAACCUGGGUAACAAGGUCUGGUGUGAUUACGUGGAGUAACCAAAGACGAAGCGAGGUAACCUGAGGUUUUGCGGGGUAACGUGAGGUUAGCGCUGUUAGCAGCGUUAGCUAUGAGACACUACAUAAACUUAACAAAACCCUUUUUAGAUAUCCAUCUAUUUUCCUCGCAAAAACACCUCGCUGGUUUGAAUCCCGGGUGGAUGUAUCCAUGCACUGACGCUUACGAGACAUCUUCAUUUGUUUCCACCGACGACCGUGGUGCCCUUUGGCAAGGCACAGCAACCGGCCGACUCCUGCAGACUGGACGGUGCUGUUGGAGUAAACGUCUCUGCGGCGAGAGCCGGUUGAAUUCCCCAGCGAGCAGCUGUCACCACGUCACCCGCUAAUGGAAAACAACACAGUGUUUACCUCGCCGUCUCCAACCCUUCAUCUCCUUCCCGAGAUGGAUACAAAGGUUCAACUCCACUGCCUUUUAAAAAAAAUGUAUUUCUCACCUCAGUGUGUACAAUAAAACGACUCUUAAACACUCACACGCCCCCUAUUUCCUCUAAGCCGCCUUGUGGUCGUUUUGUUUUCUCCGGAUGCGAGUGGAACCUUAUUUCAUCUGUGCAGAAAUGAACUCACAGCAGACCAGGGGGGGCCUGCGCGCACAGACACACACUGCUGUGUGCUGGGAGGCUUAGUUUCUCUGUUUCUGGGAGAGUUCAGCAGCGCUCACCUGCUGUGUGCAUGUAAAGCAGCAAAUGUUUCUUAAUGGGAGAAGUCCUGUAUGUGUUUGGGUGCAUCACCUUUGGUUCACUUCUUCCUGUCAGACGUUAUCUGAGUUAAUUGGUAAAGGGACGAGUCUUGAAAUGCUAAAUGGGCAAAGUGAGACAAAGAACUGUCAGUAUCGAUUCCCACUGACGGAGAGGAAAAACGCAAGAAGACAAGUAUUAAUGACGUGAAAACACAAACGGGAGGGAAACCGACGCGCAGGAGUUGAGAUACACAAUGAUACACAAUGAUUGUGGCGUCAGUUCUCAGAGGUUGUGUGUCUGUCAGACGCUCUUCCUCUUCUGUAGAAGCCUCAGCAGAAGCUGGAAAGGGACUUUUGCUUCAACCAGUUAGAACUUUCCAAAAGAACAGAAGAACCUUUUUGGUUUUGGUUUGUAGUCUGAGACGUGAUGUGUCGGGUUUUGUCCUUUGUUGGAUAAAAUAUGUCAAAAACACACGGUGGGAUUCCGAACGAAAACCGUUAAUGUCUUUUCUCGAUGCAUGAAUGUUAAUUUAGAUUCCUGUUGAAGACAUUUUUCUUUUACGUCCGUAAGAUGUCCGCAGGGUUCGUUGAUGUCGUCUCUCAGCUCUCGCGCCGUCCUCGAGUCUCGAGUUGCUAACUGAAGGCUACAUCCAAAACUCACAUUCAAACUAUUCUUCAUCUGGCGUGACCAACUGAAUUUGUGUUUAACGGCCCCGUCUUCCGUGCAUGUGCCCCUCGCCGCUAGCCAGCCGCUAGCUAGCCGCUAACUAGCCGCAGCGUCCCUCCGCUGCCUCUGAGGCCCGUGGAAGCCGUGCGGAUGAGUUCUUGUGCCGCGCGUCUCCGAGGGGGAACAUCAGCCGGCUUCGGCGUGCACUGGAGUGUGAAACGGAGAAGGGGUUUAGGGCCUUUCAGAGUGGCACUUAGUGAACAAACGCUGCCCCCCGCUGUUUGUGUUUGAAGCACGUAAAGGCGCGCUGCCAGGACGGCCGCUUUGUGUGUAAAAAUGGUCAAGCAUGAAUAUCUUAUGGCAGUCGAUGUACAUUUUGAAUCCCCUCUGUUGACUUCCAUGACCUGUGUGUGUGUGUUUGUGCGUGCGUGUGAGUGCAGUGCUCAUUAAUGCUUACGUCAGCCAUCUUUUUCUGUCGGCUGCAUUUUAAUGGAGCAGGACUCCUCCAGGCACCUGAUACCCUCUGAAUGACUACAUGUAUGAGUGUGUCUCUGUGUGUGCGCUAGCGUAUGCCUUCCAGCGCGCGUGUGGGAGGAUGCGCACUGUGUGUGUCUGUGUGUGUAACAGUGAACAGAUCUCGGGCUAUAAAUAUCGUGUCCGUUAGCUGAUGCUGAGCUAUAAAUAGACGCAUUUGGACCCGGUGCCUGGGGGGGGGGCAGCAGGAGAACUGCAUCCAGGUGUGACGUCAGAAGAACCACAGUUUGCUUUGUCUCGUUCUAUUUGUGUUCCCGGUAAUACGUUGGAGCUGCUGGUGUUUGUUUGUGUGCUUCGGGGAAGGCUUCACCUGAAAAGAAGUAUAUUCCUCUUAUUCCUCUUAUGCUUCAUAGUUUGAAGUUGAAAAUAUCUGCUGAAUAAAAUGUCUGCAUGAGGUGAUCUUCAACAUUUUUGCUGUUUUACUGUGUGUUUUUAAGGACUGUGGUUUGUUUCAAACCUCACGUCUUAAACUCAAACUACUACAUUUUUUGGAAGGUGAGGAUAUUUUUGGACACUCCUCACUUAAAGAGCUUUGAAGGAACAACACAGUUGAGUUUACUUCCACACAGUUUACCGAGAGAGAAGUAGAGUAAUUUUUUCAUAGACUUCUAUUAGACCAGAGGAGUCGCCCCCUGGUGGUCACUAGUGAGAAUGCAUUGGCUUCAGCGGGCGUCCGGCUGUGAGCGACUGGCCUUCAUCAAUGCUCAGGUCAGGAUUACGUGUAUUUAGUGAAGGUGGUUGAGGUUCGAGUAGCGAAUGCAUCAUGACGUUGACUGUCGCCAAACUGUUCAUGUUGCUCAUGGCAGCCUCGGUGUGAGAGGAGGCCAUCUGCGCCGCCACAUGCAAGAAGCCUGUCUGUGUGUGUGUGUGUGUGUGUGUCUGAUUUAUAAUGGAAAGAGAAAAAAACAAGAGCGACUACACACAUACACACACACUCUGCAUUGGCUGCAGAAAAAUCCGACGCAACAUCUGCACACGUGAGGGAGAUGUGUAAAGAGUGUGUGUGUGUUUUGAGGUGACAGCUGAUGUCUGAAAUUUGGAGCGGCCAAAGUCAAACCCACAUGAGGAAAUGUAGAGGGCUGAUCUGAACACACACACAGACAGACAGACACACACACACACUCACUGAUAUCCUUCCCUUCACAUCUGUCUCACCAGGAAUUGAAGCUGCCGCCUGCACGACUUUAUCAUUAAUAAAUUAUCCGAGUACCAGCUCACCUUUCAGGAUAAAUCGUAUUCAGAGUUUUACACGGUGACGUUUUGGAGGAUGUUUGUAUUUUUCGCUGCAGAGAUAAUGAAAACUAGGGAACUUGUCUCUUUUUCAAAGAAUCGUCCAAAUGAGCAAAGAGUGCUAACCCUCUCCGCCCUCCACUCCCCUCUCAGUUCAAUAUUAAGACAAAACAAUGUUGUGCACAGUCCUCUAAACCAGCAGUGACUCAGUUUAAACUCAUUACACACACACGCACACACACACACACUGCAGAUUGACUUGGUUAGCAGCUUUCUGAGUCACUUGUUUAUUAAAUUUCCACGGCUCCUUUCAGGAUUCCUCACUUUGCCCUUUUCUUUUCUCCCAGCAGACGUGUUUACCGUGAAGCGGGAAGCCUGCCGGUGUGGUUAACGACAAUAACGACGGCUCUCCUCCUCAUUGGUUCAGAUGUUUCUCCAAUGGCAUAAGAACCCUGUCGUCCUCAUGUUUGGAACACGACCUGCGCCACGUUGUCAUUGCAACACAACAGCUAACACGCUAACAAGCUAACAUGCUAACUUGCCGGGCCGCUGUGAGCAUGUUUGGCCGGCAAGCGGCGAACAGCUGUUCCUUUGGCCGGUGGUCCUUUUCAGCGUCAAUGAAUGAAUGUGUUUACUCAAAAAAAAGCAGCUGUUCGCGGCCGGUUUUUAACCGCUGGCCAGAUGCGAGAGAUAAACAGCUGUUCAGCUGGCCGGUGUCCUUUUCAGCGUCAACGAAUGAAUGUGUUUACUCAAAAAGAAAUACUUUGAUGUACCGGGAUACCGUACAGAAUACCGUGAUGUGAACACGGCCCAGCCCUACUCUGACGUGUCAAUCAACUAAAAGUGACGUUAGCUGCUUGGACGAAAUCACAACGGCAGCGUAAUGGCAUCAGCCACGUAAGCAACGGCUUUAAUUUACCGUUCACGGAAGUUUGAUUUGGUGAUUUUGUAUUUGCAGUCACCGGUUACCUCCGUAUCAACAGACUUCACAACUGUUUGUUAAGCCUCUACAUUGUGGAGACAUUAGUCCACUGCAGCCGCCGUGCGUCUUUCACCAUUUCUUGUAGUCAGACGUUCAAAGUUCUCAUUUCCCCUUAAAAUGGAGUUAAAACUGUCUGUAGCUACACUAUACAUCCUGAUAUCUGUGUGUGUGUGUGUGUGUGUGUGUGCGCGUCUAGCACAACCAAAAACAUAAACACACACAUUCAUUCCUGAACAUGCGGCAACAAGAUGUCAACUCAUUAUUCAAGUAAUCUUUGAAGGCUCAGCAGUCGCAUAAAUAUGUAUUGUUACCGUGCAGCUGUCAUAAAAUUAUGCAAUGCCGGUCUCGUAGUAAUUGUAUUUUUCCCAUUUGCUGCUGAAGCUGUCUGUGGGUAUUUGGUAUUGCAACGUUGCAGCGACGUGUCCAGAGAAUUUAUUAACACAACACCCGGUGGAACGGAAAGAGUGUGUUUGGAGCAGUGAUCAAUAACUCCCCUGUGAAAAAGUGUGCUUUUCUAAAAAAGACCCAGAUUUUCUCUGUAUUGAUCGGAACAUCACCUCCGAGGCUCAGAUGUUCUCAAAUAAAACAGAUGAUCCUGACAACACAAAACAGUGUGUAGUGAAAUAAGGGGAGUGAACUGCUCGCAACAAAUGUUCCAGUAGGAAACAAGCUUAAAAGCUACGAAAUGACUAUUCGUAGAAACAUUUAAGUUAAAGUUGUUUAUGUAUAUUUAAUGUGACCGAAUUAUUUUGAGUUC